Molecule: long non-coding RNA, 886 nt
Organism: Varroa destructor (honeybee mite)
Lineage: Eukaryota; Metazoa; Arthropoda; Arachnida; Mesostigmata; Varroidae
Source: RefSeq, a predicted model, not a curated record
UAUAGCCUACACACAUCCAGACCAGGUGGACACCCAUUUCAAAAUGAUAGCAGUUCUGGUAUAAUGUAAAUGUGCGACUUAACGCAUGAUUCGUACCUGAACGUCACUUUACCCGGUGGAAUCAUAUAGGAACACGUCUAAACCUCGGUGUCAAUGCAGUAUGAGGUUUAAACGGCUCGACGUGACCAUAUUUCUGAGGAUACAUGAAACAAAAAGAAGUUCUCGUGUUGCAUCAUUGUGAGAAGUUGUACUAACUUAUACUCAACGUCGGCAAUCACCCAUUUAAAUUUACCAUUUUAAUUACUAAUUUCUAGUUGCAUUCGUGAUUUAUUCUCUGUUUAAACAGAGAUAGUAAAGUAAAAGGUGAAAUUGAAAAGAAUUAAAUAGUUCCUUCAGCAUUACGUUACAGGACUGGUGUAGAAGUGCGUUUUUAUAUGUUGCACAAGCGCUUAUUAAGCAAAUCGAGUUUGGGCUUCUCUUUGUGACCUUCCGACUAUUACGACCUUCGUAGCCCAAUCCGUGUGCCACGUAAAAACGUAGUCCUGGAGCUGAGUUCCCUCGGAUGCAUUCACGACAGACGGACGUGAAGGAAGUAGAGUGCAAAUGGCGGCAAUAGCGAUAGAAGCAGAAGUAUAUAAAUCGUUGUGCCGACCAAUUUCGAACUGCAGAGAUCGGGAUUGCUGCGGACUUCACGGAAUGGAGGACCUAAAAUAAGCACUGCUACCUGAACCUGCCUGUAUUUAGCAGAAGGCUAUUCAUCUUCGUUUUUUGACUACACCUUAGCAAGUGAGCCACUCACAGAUCGAUACCGGAUCAGCUCUGGAAUGGUCGGUACAUCGUUAUCAUUGUCUGCAGCCCAUAUGAGAUACGCGUUACUCAAAAUGAG